RNAcentral lists this ribosomal RNA (238 nucleotides) under uncultured bacterium. RNAcentral describes it as "partial 16S ribosomal RNA". It matches the Rfam family "Bacterial small subunit ribosomal RNA", at positions 96 to 334 of the family's 1533-position model. The record is from RNAcentral.
CGGCGGACGGGUGAGUAACGCGUGGGUAACCUGCCUCAUACAGGGGGAUAACAGUUGGAAACGGCUGCUAAUACCGCAUAAGCGCACAGUACCGCAUGGUACGGUGUGAAAAACUCCGGUGGUAUGAGAUGGACCCGCGUCUGAUUAGGUAGUUGGUGGGGUAACGGCCUACCAAGCCGACGAUCAGUAGCCGACCUGAGAGGGUGACCGACCACAUUGGGACUGAGACACGGCCCAA